UACGUAGGGGGCAAGCGUUAUCCGGAUUUACUGGGUGUAAAGGGAGCGCAGGCGGGAAGACAAGUUGGGAGUGAAAUCCAUGGGCUCAACCCAUGAACUGCUUUCAAAACUGUUUUUCUUGAGUAGUGCAGAGGUAGGCGGAAUUCCCGGUGUAGCGGUGGAAUGCGUAGAUAUCGGGAGGAACACCGAUCGCGAAGGCAUUGUGCCGGGGCAGCACUGACGCUGAGGCUCGAAAGUGCGGGUAUCAAACAGG
Molecule: ribosomal RNA, 253 nt
Filed under: Faecalibacterium prausnitzii
Lineage: Bacteria; Bacillati; Bacillota; Clostridia; Eubacteriales; Oscillospiraceae
Description: partial 16S ribosomal RNA
Rfam family: Bacterial small subunit ribosomal RNA
Source: RNAcentral